This 429-nucleotide ribosomal RNA is filed under the name uncultured Lysobacterales bacterium. RNAcentral describes it as "bacterial SSU rRNA". It matches the Rfam family "Bacterial small subunit ribosomal RNA", at positions 355 to 776 of the family's 1533-position model. The record is from RNAcentral. Lineage: Bacteria; Pseudomonadati; Pseudomonadota; Gammaproteobacteria; Lysobacterales.
UGGGGAAUAUUGGACAAUGGGGGCAACCCUGAUCCAGCAAUGCCGCGUGUGUGAAGAAGGCCUGCGGGUUGUAAAGCACUUUCAGUAGGGAAGAAAAGCUCGGGAUUAAUACCCCCGGGUCUUGACGUUACCUAAAGAAGAAGCACCGGCUAACUCCGUGCCAGCAGCCGCGGUAAUACGGAGGGUGCGAGCGUUAAUCGGAAUUACUGGGCGUAAAGCGCACGUAGGCGGUCAGAUAAGUCGGAUGUGAAAGCCCUGGGCUCAACCUGGGAACUGCAUUCGAUACUGUCUGGCUAGAGUAUGGGAGAGGGAAGCGGAAUUUCCGGUGUAGCGGUGAAAUGCGUAGAUAUCGGAAGGAACAUCAAUGGCGAAGGCAGCUUCCUGGCCCAAUACUGACGCUCAGGUGCGAAAGCGUGGGGAUCAAACAGG